Molecule: ribosomal RNA, 495 nt
Filed under: uncultured bacterium
Lineage: Bacteria
Description: partial 16S ribosomal RNA
Rfam family: Bacterial small subunit ribosomal RNA
Source: RNAcentral
GACGAACGCUGGCGGCGUGCCUAAUACAUGCAAGUAGAACGCUGAAGGAGGAGCUUGCUUCUCUGGAUGAGUUGCGAACGGGUGAGUAACGCGUAGGUAACCUGCCUGGUAGUGGGGGAUAACUAUUGGAAACGAUAGCUAAUACCGCAUAAGAGUAGAUGUUGCAUGACAUUUGCUUAAAAGGUGCAAUUGCAUCACUACCAGAUGGACCUGCGUUGUAUUAGCUAGUUGGUGGGGUAACGGCUCACCAAGGCGACGAUACGUAGCCGACCUGAGAGGGUGAUCGGCCACACUGGGACUGAGACACGGCCCAGACUCCUACGGGAGGCAGCAGUAGGGAAUCUUCGGCAAUGGACGGAAGUCUGACCGAGCAACGCCGCGUGAGUGAAGAAGGUUUUCGGAUCGUAAAGCUCUGUUGUAAGAGAAGAACGAGUGUGAGAGUGGAAAGUUCACACUGUGACGGUAUCUUACCAGAAAGGGACGGCUAACUACGUG